RNAcentral lists this ribosomal RNA (301 nucleotides) under uncultured bacterium. Its description in RNAcentral is "partial 16S ribosomal RNA". It matches the Rfam family "Bacterial small subunit ribosomal RNA", at positions 509 to 807 of the family's 1533-position model. The record is from RNAcentral.
CAGCAGCCACGGUAACACGAAGGGGGCUAGCGUUGCUCGGAAUGACUGGGCGUAAAGGGCGCGUAGGCGGCGAUCAAAGUCAGGCGUGAAAUUCCUGGGCUCAACCUGGGGGCUGCGUUUGUUACUUGAUUGCUAGAGUGGGGAAGAGGGUCGUGGAAUUCCCAGUGUAGAGGUGAAAUUCGUAGAUAUUGGGAAGAACACCGGUGGCGAAGGCGGCGACCUGGUCCUUGACUGACGCUGAGGCGCGAAAGCGUGGGGAGCAAACAGGAUUAGAUACCCGCGUAGUCCCUGUCUCUUAUAC